This 133-nucleotide ribosomal RNA is filed under the name Cryptosporidium parvum mouse genotype. RNAcentral's name for it is "partial 18S ribosomal RNA". The record is from RNAcentral. Lineage: Eukaryota; Apicomplexa; Conoidasida; Eucoccidiorida; Cryptosporidiidae.
CUCGUAGUUGGAUUUCUGUUAAUAAUUUAUAUAAAAUAUUUUAAUUAAUAUUUAUAUAAUAUUAACAUAAUUCAUAUUACUAUAAUUAUUUUUUAGUAUAUGAAAUUUUACUUUGAGAAAAUUAGAGUGCUUA